UCCUAUCAGAUUGUUGGUGAGGUAAAAGCUCACCAAGUCUAUGACGGGUAGCUGGCCUGAGAGGGUGGUCAGCCAGACUGGGACUGCGAUACGGCCCAGACUCCUACGGGAGGCAGCAACUAGGAAUUAUGCACAAUGGACGAAAGUCUGAUGCUGCGACGUCGCGUGGAGGAUGAAGGUCUUAGGAUCGUAAACUCCUUUUAUUGGGGAACAAAUUUUGAGUGUACCCAAUGAAUAAGUGCCUGCAAACCACGUGCCAGAAGCAUCGGUAAUACGUGGGACACAAGCGCUAUCCGGAUUUACUGGGCGUAAAGAGAUGCGUAGGCGUCUUCUUAAGUUAUUUGUUAAAUCUCUCGAUUCAAUCGAGAACAUGCAAGUAAUACUGGGUUGAUUGAGUUAGGUAGAGAAGAGGGGAAUUCCUGGUGGAGUGGUUAAAUACGUUGAUAUCAGGAGGAACACCAAUGGCGAAAGCACCUCUUUGGACCUAUACUGACGCUAAAGGCUCGAAAGCGUGGGGGAGCAAAACGGAUUAGAUACC
This 538-nucleotide ribosomal RNA is filed under the name uncultured bacterium. RNAcentral describes it as "bacterial SSU rRNA". It matches the Rfam family "Bacterial small subunit ribosomal RNA", at positions 236 to 786 of the family's 1533-position model. The record is from RNAcentral.